GGUCUCGCUCGUCCCUCUCCGCCCCCAGCCCUCGCGGGUUGCGGGGUGGACAUCAGGCACGCCCCGUGUUCCAGGCAAGCCGUUCGGCUGCCUCGGCCCACGGUGUGCCCUGCCCGUUCUCUCGGAUGCAGAACGUUACGCGCGGGCGKGGGGUCUUUGGCUCCGUUUGCCCGAGCAACGCAUCUGUCCCUCGACGCGAAUGACUGCCGUGCCCGUCUUGAGCCCGCGGCCUCACGGCCCGUCGGGUGUCAUGCGGGCGUCGGCGUCGCGAAGGAAUGCUACCUGGUUGAUCCUGCCAGUAGUCAUA
Molecule: unclassified non-coding RNA, 307 nt
Filed under: Commiphora buruxa
Lineage: Eukaryota; Viridiplantae; Streptophyta; Magnoliopsida; Sapindales; Burseraceae
Description: partial external transcribed spacer
Source: RNAcentral